AUGAUCAUCAUACUUACACAUGAGGGGGAAGCAGAUUCAACUGUACUCUUCAUUUGGAAAUGGCUGCCACAUGGAAAACAGCUCCUGUGUAUCUGUGGCUCAAGAUGUUCGGAAGAAUUGACCUUUCCUUUUGAGGAGGACUGCCACUGGCCACACUCCUCUGGAGAAGGCCCAUCAGGAAUGAAAGGCUCUUGGAAAUCACAUUUGAAAAGGUCAGGGCGCACCCAGAAUGAACUGGACCUGCUAGUCUGACAAACAACAUGCUAUUUCUUAUACCUCCAUCUCGUCUGACAGGGAAAAAGAAACAGCAAGCUCUGUUGAAACCGGAGUGUGUAAAAAUACUUCAAUGCACAGUGUCUCUGCAUUUUUUCCCCCCUUUAGCUUAUCAAGGUUUGCACACUUCAGCUUGCAUGCUGAUGUAUUUCAGACCUUAUCCUGAGAUAGUUUGAAUGAUAUUUCUGACUAAAUCUAAAAAAUAAAAAAAUAAAAACACAUAACAACAACUGAACUUUCAAAAAAAAAAAAAAAACUAAUUUGCAGCUUGUGUUAAUGAUGCAAUGGAUCUGCAUAAUGCACUUAUAUUAAUGUGACUCCACAAAAAUAGCACAAGGUCACGACUCUCAUCUGCAAAAAUCAAGGCAAUCCCAGGUUAAGCAAGACCAAACAGCUAAAGCUAUGCAGACUAGAUUAACAGGUAAUAUUGCAUUUCUAAAACUAAACCAGCUACUGCUUGGAAAUCUGAUGUUUAAUUGGGUGUAUAUUCUGGUGUAUUUUUGGUUUGAAGGUUGAGUGCUAUUUACACAUGCAAACACCCACACAAAGCUAAAAACAAAGAGCUCUUUAUGACAACAGUGUCACACAUCCAAGAAUAUUUGGAAUAUUUGGUCACUUUGUUGUUCUUGCGAAUAAAACACUGACACAAUGAAUAACAAGUACAUUAACAUUGCAAUAACAUUGAUUUAUUGAAUAAUUAAGUAAGUAUAAUUCCUUAAUUUACCUUUGUAAAGAAAUUUCAUUGCUCUCUGCUGUCUUUACCGU
Cyprinus carpio carpio is the source of this 1038-nucleotide long non-coding RNA. The record is from Ensembl. Lineage: Eukaryota; Metazoa; Chordata; Actinopteri; Cypriniformes; Cyprinidae.